Molecule: long non-coding RNA, 358 nt
Filed under: Olea europaea (common olive)
Lineage: Eukaryota; Viridiplantae; Streptophyta; Magnoliopsida; Lamiales; Oleaceae
Description: long non-coding RNA (OEUR_LNC000787)
Source: RNAcentral
UCGAAAUCUGGAGAAUCUAUAAAUCUUAAAAUUUAAACAUAUGACGGAGUUGUAUUUGAAUCCAUGAAAUCUACGGGAUCUCAAAAAUUUUGAUGAUUUGCCUUAAAUUAAACAAAAUUAAAAUAAUUUUUUUACUUAUAUAUAAUACUAAAUUUCGUGAUACAUCUAUCCCCCGUUGUUGUUUUAAGUGUCACCGUCACGUAAGGACUCCACUGACUUCUCAAUUCUGUACACUGCCACUCUUCUGAAAAAAAAUGACUUCUUGGAAUCAUCUUCUUCUUCUUCUUUUCUUCUUCGGUUUUCAGGCGGCACUCGCUGCCCUUCCGGGGACGUGGGAGCUUCUGGUCCCCGAUGNNNN